This is a long non-coding RNA of Aquila chrysaetos chrysaetos, 969 nucleotides long. RefSeq lists it as uncharacterized. The transcript is spliced from 4 exons. The record is from RefSeq and is a predicted model, not a curated record. Lineage: Eukaryota; Metazoa; Chordata; Aves; Accipitriformes; Accipitridae.
UUCUGCCAACGGCGAGCCCGGCCUCUUCCCUCGGGGAUCCGCUCCGCACCACGCCCCUCUCUCCGCGUGGAGGGUCUCUCCCGGUCCGUUCCCGAGGGCAGAAGCGAGGUGGGGGUCCCCCGGCUCUCCUGGGGCAGCCCUCGCUGCGAGGGGGCGCGGGCGAGGCGGCGGCGUCCCCUCGGUACCGGGCAGAGGGGAGAGAUCCCGGCCGGUCGGAGCUCCCGGGCGCAGACCCCUUCCGGCAGAAUCCUCCCCUGCCUUUUCACCGUUGGCUGGCUGUGACAAACAGGUUCAUUUUUUGCCUCCCAGUGUCUUUUCGCAGUGUCACCUUCUGCGUCACAUGAAGAAAAUGCUCCAUGGUUUAUUCCGCUUGCUGCUCAGCUGGAUGUCAGCUGGCACCGUUUCACUGUGGUUGCCCUUUCUUCUGUCAUGACAGUACAACGCAGAUGGAAAGAAUCCAUAGUGGUCUGCAAGUACAAGGCUUUCCCAAGAAGCAUUAGCAGCCUUGUAACUAGUGACAGUGAGUCCUGAGGUAUUUUUGUUUUACACUUCACUUUCAGCAUUAUUGACCAAGCAAGCAAGAUGCGCAGCAGCAGCGCUAGGGCUGUAGCUGUUGUGGUGGAUCCGUAAGCGUAGAUUCUGAUUGCGUACAACAUUGUCCCACAGCCUCCCAGGGUUAUCUCCCUGCAGCAGUACUGUAAGGAAGGGAGGAGACAUUUUCCAAUACCAGCGAGAGUGUUUACUUUUAUGCUAAGAACAUGUUCAAAAUCAUAUCAAUUAUCCUAAAUGCUGAUUUUAAGAGUUCAGAUCACUCUAACUUUUAAAAGAUGUGUUGUAUUUCGAGCUGACCUGUUUACCUGGAAUCCUCCUUUAGCUCAACUACUCUUCUUGUGCACCCGCAGCCUCUGCUGGCAGGGCAGUAUGAGAAGCCCUUGACUUAGCUUAGCAACAACUAAAGCAUCAGUGUGU